Molecule: ribosomal RNA, 442 nt
Filed under: bacterium enrichment culture clone ALO1_GLFRUDD03FW6Q0
Lineage: Bacteria
Description: bacterial SSU rRNA
Rfam family: Bacterial small subunit ribosomal RNA
Source: RNAcentral
GAGUUUGAUCAUGGCUCAGAUUGAACGCUGGCGGCAUGCCUUACACAUGCAAGUCGAACGGCAGCACGGGAGCUUGCUCCUGGUGGCGAGUGGCGAACGGGUGAGUAAUGCAUCGGAACGUAUCCUGGAGUGGGGGAUAACGUAGCGAAAGUUACGCUAAUACCGCAUAUUCUGUGAGCAGGAAAGCGGGGGACCUUCGGGCCUCGCGCUCUUGGAGCGGCCGAUGUCGGAUUAGCUAGUUGGUGAGGUAAAGGCUCACCAAGGCGACGAUCCGUAGCAGGUCUGAGAGGAUGAUCUGCCACACUGGAACUGAGACACGGUCCAGACUCCUACGGGAGGCAGCAGCGGGGAAUUUUGGACAAUGGGGGCAACCCUGAUCCAGCCAUGCCGCGUGAGUGAAGAAGGCCUCGGUUGGUAAGUACGUCUUCGUCGAGAGAAGAAA